Molecule: long non-coding RNA, 1421 nt
Organism: Pan paniscus (pygmy chimpanzee)
Lineage: Eukaryota; Metazoa; Chordata; Mammalia; Primates; Hominidae
Source: Ensembl
AUCUACUUUCAUUUCAUCAUUUCAUUUAUUUCAUCAUUUCAUCAUUUGACUUCAUGUCAUCAUUUCACAUCAUUUCAUCAUUUCAUCUUUUCAUUCCAUCAUUUCAUCAUUUCAUUUCCUCAUUUCAUCCUUUCAUUUCAUCUCAUCAUUUCAUCCUUUCAUUAUUUCAUUUAAUCAUUUCUUCUCACUGUUGCAUUUCGUCAUCUCAUCACUUCAUCAUUUCACUUCAUCUCAUCAUUUCAUCAUCUCAUGAUUUCAUUUCAUCUCAUCAUUUCAUCUCAUUUCAUCUUUUCAUCUCGUCAUUUCAUUUCAUCUUUUCAUUUCAUCUUUUCAUCUCAUCAUUUCAUUUAUUUCGUUUCAUUUCACCUUUUCAUCUCAUCAUUUCAUUUCAUCAAUUCAUCAUUUAAUUUCAUUUUUUCAUCAUUUCAUCAUUCACUUCAUCAUUUCAUUUCAUCAUUUCAUAUCAUUUCCUCAAUUCAUCAUUUCAUCUUUUCAUUUCAUUUCAUCAUUUCAUCAUUUCAUUUCACUUCACUAUUUCAUUUCACUUCACUAUUUCAUUUCAUUAUUUCAUUUCACCAUUUCAUGUCAUCAUUUCAUUUCAUCAUUCCAUUUCAUCAUUUCAUUUCAUUUCAUCAUCAUUUCAUCUCAUUAUUUCAUUUCUUCGUUUCAUCAUUUCGUUUCAUUUCAUCAUUUCAUUUCAUCAUUUCAUCAUUUCUUUUCAUUUCAGUGAUACAUGUAUUUAAUUGCUAAUGCGAUGCUCAGGAGACACCCUAUUUCCCUUUGUAAAACACCUCCUUCAACAAAAGGCAACUUCUCAUGGCUGGCUAAGUCUACAGGGAUACCAGCCUCUCUUCAACCACCCAAUUUCAUUUAGAACCUCAAACAGCGCCUCAGUUUCAUAAAAACCUAAAACAUAAACACAACACUUGGUUGUAAGUGAGCCAACAGUUUCUUGUCUCUUUCUCUGCUCAAGGCUUAAGGCCGUGUCUCCCCAACUACAUUCAGUGGAAGAAAAGAUCCCAUGGACAAAUAAGUUUGAGAAUUGUUGUUGCAGGAAUUCUCAGAACUUUCAAAACACAAAUCCUCAUCCGCAGGGAUCUUCAGGAGGGAGAUGGCUGAUGCAGCACAACUUCUUUCUACAGGAGUAUCUUGCAGAAUACAGUAUGAGAUACAGAAAAGGCUGCAUUGAGUCUUUUUAAUGGCCCAGGCCUUGGUGGGGGUGGGAUAGGAGCUCUCCAGAUAGCAUCUAAUGAGUAGGAACAUUCAGGUGGCUUUUUGUUUCCUUAUUGGCAAAACUGUGUGUACACCAUGAAUGAAGCUGGUCUCCCUUAUCCACGUCAAAACUAAACUCAAAUUAAUUGGCUAAAUUGGGACUCAACACCUCCAGGAGCCACGCGGCAGAAAGCCCCAACACACUUUAA